ACUCCUACGNNAGGCAGCAGUAGGGAAUAUUGCACAAUGGGCGAAAGCUUGAUGCAGCGACGACGCGUGAGGGAUGACGGCCUUCGGGUUGUAANCUCUUUCAGCAGGGAAGAAGCGAAAGUGACGGUACCUGCAAAAGAAGCACCGGCUAACUANGUGCCAGCAGCGCGCGGUAAUACGUAGGGUGCGAGCGUUGUCCGGAAUUAUUGGGCGUAAAGAGCUUGUAGGCGGUUUGUCGCGUCUGCUGUGAAAAUCCGAGGCUCAACCUCGGACUUGCAGUGGGUACGGGCAAACUAGAGUGUGGUAGGGGAGACUGGAAUUCCUGGUGUAGCGGUGAAAUGCGCAGAUAUCAGGAGGAACACCGAUGGCGAAGGCAGGUCUCUGGGCCACUACUGACGCUGAGAAGCGAAAGCGUGGGGGAGCGAACAGGAUUAGAUACCCUGGUAGUCCACGCCGUAAACGGUGGGCGCUAGGUGUGGGACUCAUUCCACGAGUUCUGUGCCGUAGCUAACGCAUUAAGCGCCCCGCCUGGGGAGUACGGCCGCAAGGCUAAAACUCAAAGGAAUUGACGGGGGCCCGCACAAGCGGCGGAGCAUGUGGAUUAAUUCGAUGCAACGCGAAGAACCUUACCAAGGCUUGACAUAUACCGGAAACAUCUGGAGACAGGUGCCCCGCAAGGUCGGUAUACAGGUGGUGCAUGGUUGUCGUCAGCUCGUGUCGUGAGAUGUUGGGUUAAGUCCCGCAACGAGCGCAACCCUCGUUCUAUGUUGCCAGCGCGUAAUGGCGGGGACUCAUAGAAGACUGCCGGGGUCAACUCGGAGGAAGGUGGGGAUGAGGUCAAAUCAUCAUGCCCCUUAUGUCUUGGGCUUCACACAUGCCACAAUGGCCGGUACAGAGGGCUGCGAAACCGCAAGGUGGAGCGAAUCCCAUAANNCCGGUCUCAGUUCGGAUUGGGGUCUGCAACUCGACCCCAUGAAGUUGGAGUCGCUAGUAAUCGCAGAUCAG
This 1005-nucleotide ribosomal RNA is filed under the name actinomycete symbiont 8 of Acromyrmex octospinosus. Its description in RNAcentral is "bacterial SSU rRNA". It matches the Rfam family "Bacterial small subunit ribosomal RNA", at positions 335 to 1352 of the family's 1533-position model. The record is from RNAcentral. Lineage: Bacteria; Bacillati; Actinomycetota; Actinomycetes; Actinomycetales.